Myotis davidii is the source of this 978-nucleotide long non-coding RNA. RefSeq lists it as uncharacterized. The record is from RefSeq and is a predicted model, not a curated record. NCBI's taxonomy places the organism in Eukaryota, Metazoa, Chordata, Mammalia, Chiroptera, Vespertilionidae. The transcript has 3 exons.
AUAAAUUAAUAAAUUAAGUAAAAAUUGGAUUAUUUCAUCUUACCCUAAAAGUGUACAUAUUUUAAGUGGGCCCGAGUAUAAAGGAGUUGGUUAUUGCGAGAGCAGGAAGUACAACCCGGAUGGUGUCGGGAUGAGGUCUGAUGGUUGCUAGAGGCUAGGUGUGCAGUGCUGAGGAGUUUGAACUUUUCCUACAGGAGAUGGGAACCACUGAUGUGCCAUAAGCUGGAGGAGUGUGAUUUUUAAAGAUGAUUUGACCGCAGUGGGAAAUACAUACAGCACCAGGUGCAACCCUGUUGUAAUGGCCCAGGCAGGCCUCAGACCCAGUGAGGGCGUGAGCGCUUAUACCAGAACAGUGAUACCGGGGAUGGAGAAAUAAAGUCAAAUUUAAGGCCCAGCUGGAUUUCCGUGCCCCAAUUUACUGUCAUUGCCAGAGCUUCUGAGCAUGCGCUGAAGGCAGAGCUGGACUAACCAAUGCUCUCCUGAGGCUCAAGCUAAUGUGGUGUCCCAGAAGUCUACUGAAACUUGCUGUGCGAGAUAAUAGACUUCAUGUAUGUUAAGCAUUGUAUCAGAUCCUUUGGGAAUCAGUGUUGUACACCAGCCUAAAUGUACUGGAGUUACUGUCUUUUUAAGAAAUCUGAAGAAUGUUGUUCCUUCUGCAGGAACCUUCAUGCUGAGAUGACCCUAGAUUGUUAGUAUGUCACAGUAAGAUGCCUUAAUGAAGGUAGUCAGAGUGCAGAUAACUGGCAACCUUAAAUUGAUAUAAACACAGCAAAUAGAAGGGAAUAAUCAGAUCACAAGGAAGUCAGAUUCUGUGGGUGGAUUUCUGGGAGGAAGGAGCAAGAAGACAAAGGGUGAAGAAGCAAAAAGAAAAUGGACUUAGCAAUGAGAUGGACAUAUCUCCACCAUCUUGCUGCUCAAACUAACAACAAUCAUUCAAAAGCCAUCCCUAAGUUGGUGAAAUAUAUAUAUUAAAACAGA